GCUGGAGUGGUGGAACGGCAUACACGUCGGUCUCAAAAACCGAUAAGCGCAAGCUUGUGAGGGUUCAAGUCCCUCCUCCAGCACCA
This 86-nucleotide transfer RNA is filed under the name Candidatus Omnitrophota bacterium. RNAcentral's name for it is "tRNA-Leu". It matches the Rfam family "tRNA". Rfam says of the family: Transfer RNA (tRNA) molecules are approximately 80 nucleotides in length. Their secondary structure includes four short double-helical elements and three loops (D, anti-codon, and T loops). The record is from RNAcentral. Lineage: Bacteria; Pseudomonadati; Candidatus Omnitrophota.